CAGCAGUAGCCGCGGUAAUACGAAGGGGGCUAGCGUUGCUCGGAAUGACUGGGCGUAAAGGGCGCGUAGGCGGCUUGUACAGUCAGAUGUGAAAUUCCUGGGCUUAACCUGGGGGCUGCAUUUGAUACGUGCGGGCUAGAAUGUGAAAGAGGGUCGUGGAAUUCCCAGUGUAGAGGUGAAAUUCGUAGAUAUUGGGAAGAACACCGGUGGCGAAGGCGGCGACCUGGUCCUUGACUGACGCUGAGGCGCGAAAGCGUGGGGAGCAAACAGGAUUAGAUACCCCCGUAGUCCCUGUCUCUUAUAC
Molecule: ribosomal RNA, 304 nt
Filed under: uncultured bacterium
Lineage: Bacteria
Description: partial 16S ribosomal RNA
Rfam family: Bacterial small subunit ribosomal RNA
Source: RNAcentral